Molecule: unclassified non-coding RNA, 377 nt
Filed under: uncultured bacterium
Lineage: Bacteria
Description: contains 16S-23S intergenic spacer region
Source: RNAcentral
UCCGGUUUGUCACCGGCAGUCUCGCAUGAGUCCCCAACUAAAUGCUGGCAACAUGCGACAGGGGUUGCGCUCGUUGCGGGACUUAACCCAACAUCUCACGACACGAGCUGACGACGGCCAUGCAGCACCUGUCACUAGGCUCCCGAAGGCACCCCCUGAUUUCUCAAGGGUCCCUAGGAUGUCAAGCCUUGGUAAGGUUCUCCGCGUAUCGUCAAAUUAAACCACAUCAUCCACCGCUUGUGCGGGUCCCCGUCAAUUCCUUUGAGUUUUAGCCUUGCGGCCGUACUUCCCAGGCGGCAUACUUAACGCGUUAGCUUCGACGCACAGGGGGUCGAUACCCCAUACGUCUAGUAUGCAUCGUUUACGGCGUGGACUAC